Molecule: long non-coding RNA, 3117 nt
Organism: Prinia subflava (tawny-flanked prinia)
Lineage: Eukaryota; Metazoa; Chordata; Aves; Passeriformes; Cisticolidae
Exons: 2
Source: RefSeq, a predicted model, not a curated record
AAAACAAAACAAACAAAAUCCCAAAAAUAUUUCAGUGAGAAGAAUGAUUCACAGUUUAUUGCAUGUUAAAACCACACAAGCUCCUAGAGCCAGCAAACUCUCAAGGUCACUAUCCUUGGAAGACCAUUGCUGAACACCAAUGAUGGAUCCACAGUUGGUGCCCCCACUCCUCAAGGCCCAACCCUUGGCCUGUUGAAAAGAUGCAAAGGCAUCCCAUGGGAGUACUUCACUGAACUCAAGGGGCAUUUUCCACCCUGUACAAACUCAUUUACAUCUGUGUGAGCAUGAACAGGCUACAGCAAAGGGACUAUGAAAGUUCCUCUCCUACAUUCUCAAGUACUUCACAUUUGUAACUAAGUUAGCGCUAUAAGGAGUUACUGUUGUUUCACAGACCCUUUUGUUAAAUUAUUUCAAUUAGGCUGUUACGUUUAAAUGCAGUUAAAACCUUCAGGCUUAAACCAUUGGUCAAGUCCGUGCCUAAGUUUAGCAAGGGGAUCCCCUUUGACUCAGCGGGAAGGUCUCCCUCAAUCCUGUUUCUCCUUACCCUUUCCUGUCUCUACCCUUUUUCAAUCUACAGCCUCCAUGAAAAUAAUGUUAUGUUGAUUCUAGUUUUCAACUGAUUUUAGUCCGAUUUUUCUCGGGGGGUAGGGAAGGAAGGGAGCAUCUAUAUUACCUCAGUACUGAAACUGAAAACUCCUCAGGAGCUUUGUGCUGGCCAAGCACUUGGCAGAGCAGCUUGUUCUGAAACCACAGCUUUGGGAGAUUACAAGAGCAAAUCAAAACAGAGGCCUUCUGCUAAUUGAAACUACAGAUUGAUUUUAAGGAAGUGCAAUUAAUUUUAAUCUAAAGCUCUAAUUCUCUAUACCACAUUGAAGAGCAUUAUUUUUAUGCUCUGCAUUACUGAAACUCCCCAAAUACUUCUUCAUUAUUCUACUUGGGAGGCAUUUGUUAGACUAAGAGGCAGACAUUUGGCAAGGCCCACACCACCUGCCAUUUUAACCAUAGCUCACCCAUCAGGACACGGCCAAGCUCUGGAAUUUCCUCCACAUUUCAAAACAAAGAGAGCAGUUUGCAGGAUUCUCACCAGCAACUUCCAUGAGUUUCUGGUGAGAGCCCUAUUGACUAGAAGUUUAUUGGUGAUUAAUAUCACACACGCUCCUUCAUACAGUAUGAGAAAAUAAUAUGGAACCAAAGGUGGCACAAAGACUCGUGUGUUAGAAGCCCUAGGCACUUCCUCCCACCCCAGAUUCCCAAGUUAGCUUCAAGGAAGGUCUUGCUACUCUUUUAUUAAUGAAAAUUUCAUCUUAUAAUUUAAUAGAAUACAGUAUUUAUGGUGAAUAAAUGAAAAGGCAGAUCUAUAUUUCAGGGGUUCAAAUAAUUAUAAAACCAAAGAAAUAAGAUAUUAUCUCAUAAAAAUAUAAAUUUUUGAAGUGUAAACAACAACAAACUAGUAUUGUCAAUGACUGCAGCCUUGAAAAUAACCCAGAAUAAUUACCUUGAGAUUUCUGUCCCUUAGAGGACCCACAGAGCACAACAAGGUGUAAUCAACAUAACAGAUAUUUGGUUUGAGUAUGAACCAUGCUAGUAAAUGUUAUAAAUGGAGAAAACAGUAGGCAAACCAAUAAAACUAUGCUUCUAGAUUUGUGAAUAUAUGAUUCACAAAUCCACUAGGCAAGAUGAAGGGAAGAAUGGGGGCUGAUUAGAAGAACUUAACUCUUCAGAGAUGUUUUAAGUCACAAAGGAUCUGCCAUUAAAUUAUCCCUCCAAUGCUUUUAGAAGCAUUGUUGGGGCCCCAGAUACUUGGAAAUUAUCAAAGGAUCAGCAAUCUGAAGAAAAAACUUCCAUCUCUAAGUGACAAAAACACACCACCUUUUUUCAUUUUGCUGGACUAAUAAAACACACUGUAAAACAUGGUCAGUCCAGAACUGGAGGUCUAAUGGCAAAAUAAGUGCUUCAUGUGAGCGUGUGUCGUGGUUUGAAGGGAAGUGAGUUUUUUUGGAAGUAGUGGUCAAACCAAUUAGUCUUUAGAUCUGAAUAUUGGCACCUUUGUUGGCCACUAAGAGGUGGACACGCCUCUGAGGACACGAGGGGUUAAAAGCCGGAUUUCCCAGCAGGACUCCCUCUUUCCCUGCUCUGCUUUCGGAGAGGGAGCGUCUUCUCCUCUCCCCUGCCGGCCUGGCUAGGCCGGGUGGGGGAGGGGAGCAAGGUGGGCCUGGCUGUGCAAGAGAGAAGGUGCCGAGUUGGAGCUGCUUGUGAGAACUGCAGUGUCUGCGAUCGCCUGUGCCUGACCUUGGUGGUGGGAGAUAAAAGCUUUUAACUCUUUCUAAGGCAGAAGAGAGUUAUCCCUGGACGCUGUAUUCUCAUAGUUGGUGGUUUUAGAAGAGAGAGGACAGCCUGGGACCGAGAGGGUAAUGUGAGAUGAAAAGAAGCCCCUUCGAGUGCCGGAAUGAAGAGGAGUGGCUUAUGAGGCCGGACUUUUCUUGCAUAAUGAUAGCCAUAGACGGACCCUGGACCCUCCUGACUAUAAAUAAGACUGUGUUUGGGUGGAUGUUUUUGGCUCAAACCCAGAGACGUUCUGGCCUGCUUCUUGGAGCCCCCGGCCCCAGGGGUAAAUGGGGGGGACCUGAGUCCCAAAAUGAGAGGAUGGCUGGUUUUUGGUACUUGGCCAAAACAUCCUUAAAAAGAGCCCUGUUGCAGUGCAGGUCCAUGGACGGCAGUGAGAGUGCCGGACAUGGAAAGGAGGGUGUCACCCUGGCAGACCCUUCCAGGCAGUGCCAUGGGUGACUUGGGAACACGGGAUGGUGGACCUGUGUUUCCUGUGGGGGGGUGGUCUGUGGUGCGAGAGAGACUCCUCUCGUCCUGGAUGGAAUGUGGAUUGUCUGAAUUUUAAAGGAUGAUGAUUUGGAUUAGGAACCCAGGGUUGUUGAGGGAUUAAGCAAGUAGAUGAAGGUAAUGUGCUGGAGACAACUGAGUGAGCAUGUAUGGAAUGGAAUUGGGGGGAGGAGAAGCAGUGUUUUUGGGAGGUUUUCUCUUCUGCUUUUGGGUGGUUGGGUUUUUCUUUCCUUUUCUAUUGUCCAUUGUUAUGUAAUAUAAUAAAUUGUCUGUCUGUUUCAAGAA